Molecule: long non-coding RNA, 1206 nt
Organism: Hemicordylus capensis (graceful crag lizard)
Lineage: Eukaryota; Metazoa; Chordata; Lepidosauria; Squamata; Cordylidae
Exons: 6
Source: RefSeq, a predicted model, not a curated record
CCCUGUGAAACCCCUUACAGCUCUCCACACUGCACAUGUGGAGAGCCUCAAUAUCUAUUUCAUUAAGCUGACAGUGUUCCUGAUUCUACUCCACUGUCUUGUCCUUGCAUGCCACAACAAUUGUCCUCUGGAUUGUACACGGGCAAUGAAAGUGGCUAAAAAGUCCUUCAAAAACAAGCCAACCAACAAAACUCCCUUCUUAAUAACAGAAAGCCAUAGAGGAAAAGGCCUAAAAGACACAGAGGACAAAAAGAAGGCAGGAGAAAGACACAACCAUCCUUCUAACCAGCUAGAUCCCAUGCUGAAAGAAAUUAAUGCUGAAAGAAACUUCACAGAAGCUUAUAUUCUCAGACCAACUCCUUAAAGACUUGUGCCACCUAUCCCCACCUGCUUGGCACCUUGUUGAAUACUCCAAAACAAACAUAUCAGAACUAAGGUUGCCUACUUCUUAAAUGGAAGGUGGUUCUAAAACUUUUCAUAGCAUGGAACUAAAAAUCAUCAGCUAAUUAAAGGCACAGGAGUGGAAGUAUUCAAAAACAGUUGUAAGCUGUCCUGUGCCUAUUUAUCACAAGAGGAAGUGCACACUCAUAUCCUUAUUGAGUUUGGACAGUCGCAGUUUGGACAUAUCAUCCAGCCCCUUAUCCCCAGGGCAAGGAGUGAGAUGCUCAAAUGAAGAUGUGAAGGAUGUCUAGGGACCUCUGGGGCCUUUAACAAGUGAGCAAAUAAGAAUACUGAACGAGUACAAAUGGAACCAGACAAAUUUGAGGAAGGUCUCGGAUGAUGCGAGAAACCCCUUAAUGUAUAUCAAAAUGCUUGCCUCCGCCUGCCCCCGAUAGGCUAAGAACGGUAAAAUUGCCUUUCUGGAUCAGACCUUCCUGUCUUCCUUUCCUAACAGCAGCCAGCCAGAUGCCUCUUUCCUUUGUUUCCUUCAGAAAGCAAAGCGUCUAAGCAAAGCUUCCUCCUCCCCAAAUGAACAUCAUCUCUUCUUUACAUUGAGCAGCCUCAAUUCUCCUCCACCUUCUAGUUUUACAGCAGCACAACUGAGAAGCAGGCCUGUGUGAUGCGUCUGGCUUUUGUUCAUGAUAACAGACACACCUUACAGCUCCCUUAAAUUGGCAUAUCAUUUUCUUUUGCUCUUUCUCUUUUUCUUUGUAGCUGUAUUUGCAUAUGUAUGUCAGGGCCCAUUCAUACAUCUCAUCUCCAUAA